Molecule: ribosomal RNA, 609 nt
Filed under: Trichoderma harzianum
Lineage: Eukaryota; Fungi; Ascomycota; Sordariomycetes; Hypocreales; Hypocreaceae
Description: eukaryotic LSU rRNA
Rfam family: 5.8S ribosomal RNA (bases 228-381)
Source: RNAcentral
UUGGUGACCAGCGGAGGGAUCAUUACCGAGUUUACAACUCCCAAACCCAAUGUGAACGUUACCAAACUGUUGCCUCGGCGGGAUCUCUGCCCCGGGUGCGUCGCAGCCCCGGACCAAGGCGCCCGCCGGAGGACCAACCAAAACUCUUAUUGUAUACCCCCUCGCGGGUUUUUUUUAUAAUCUGAGCCUUCUCGGCGCCUCUCGUAGGCGUUUCGAAAAUGAAUCAAAACUUUCAACAACGGAUCUCUUGGUUCUGGCAUCGAUGAAGAACGCAGCGAAAUGCGAUAAGUAAUGUGAAUUGCAGAAUUCAGUGAAUCAUCGAAUCUUUGAACGCACAUUGCGCCCGCCAGUAUUCUGGCGGGCAUGCCUGUCCGAGCGUCAUUUCAACCCUCGAACCCCUCCGGGGGGUCGGCGUUGGGGAUCGGCCCUGCCUUGGCGGUGGCCGUCUCCGAAAUACAGUGGCGGUCUCGCCGCAGCCUCUCCUGCGCAGUAGUUUGCACACUCGCAUCGGGAGCGCGGCGCGUCCACAGCCGUUAAACACCCAACUUCUGAAAUGUUGACCUCGGAUCAGGUAGGAAUACCCGCUGAACUUAAGCAUAUCAAUAAAGC